Molecule: ribosomal RNA, 310 nt
Filed under: uncultured Streptococcus sp.
Lineage: Bacteria; Bacillati; Bacillota; Bacilli; Lactobacillales; Streptococcaceae
Description: bacterial SSU rRNA
Rfam family: Bacterial small subunit ribosomal RNA
Source: RNAcentral
AUGUUGGGUUAAGUCCCGUCAACGAGCGCAACCCCUAUUGUUAGUUGCCAUCAUUCAGUUGGGCACUCUAGCGAGACUGCCGGUAAUAAACCGGAGGAAGGUGGGGAUGACGUCAAAUCAUCAUGCCCCUUAUGACCUGGGCUACACACGUGCUACAAUGGUUGGUACAACGAGUUGCGAGUCGGUGACGGCGAGCUAAUCUCUUAAAGCCAAUCUCAGUUCGGAUUGUAGGCUGCAACUCGCCUACAUGAAGUCGGAAUCGCUAGUAAUCGCGGAUCAGCACGCCCGCGGUCCAAUACGUUCCGGCCUU